Long non-coding RNA from Homo sapiens (human), 1081 nucleotides. RefSeq lists it as uncharacterized. The record is from RefSeq and is a predicted model, not a curated record. The transcript is spliced from 3 exons. Lineage: Eukaryota; Metazoa; Chordata; Mammalia; Primates; Hominidae.
GCCGGGCAGAUCAUGGGGACGGGGAAUUCUGAGCAGAACCUCUUCAGAAGUUGAGUCUCAAGGGGCCUUGGGGAACUUGGUCAGCAGAUGGCAAGACUUCAUCUGUCAGUGGGCGGGUCAGCUCAGCGGGACUCCUGUCUUUGGAACUGAGACUCAAGUCUCUACUCUGUACCAAGACAGAGAUGGAGGCCAGGAAACAAGACACACAACCAUUUUCCAUCAUCGAGGGGCAAGGCAGGGCUUGGCAUGAGGCAGAACCAGGCUCCAUCAAUGCCACAUCCUGAGGACGUGAUAGGAUUUCAUUCCCGCCCCACCUUGUGGUUGGAUGGAAUCAUGUGCCCAAUUCUGGUCAAGAUCAAGAAACUGAGAAACAAAGCAAAUCCGUGGGAUGCAGAGGGUACGCUGAUGACUUCUGCUGGGGAGAGAAGCCCAAACACACGUCCUGGGCAGAGCCCAGAGACCUGGAGUGUGGCUGCCAGUGGGCACCCGGCUGAGGGACAAGCAGGUGGGCCUCAGUGGUGGCUGCCAGGUCCCUGGACGCAGGGGGCCACCGGCUUUGCCUCUCCUCUGCCUCGGAAGCACCGGAGGCUUUGGGGAUCUGGUGGUCCUCCGGCCCUGAACGUGGACCUGGUGUGACAAAGGGAAGUUUGCCAUCUCCAUCCUCCUCAAGCUGCCUGUGCACCCCAGUAGCACUCACCCUCUCUGUGCUCCCGUCUGCACCGCAUGUCCUGGGGUCCUUCUUUGUGCUGCACCCAGUGACAGGAACCAGUGUCCCGACUGUGACUUACUUCCCCCCUCAGGGACACACAAGGACUUUCACAUCGAGGCUACUUUUCACCCCUUCUGCCUCCUGCAGGGACGCUGCAUGCAGAGGCAGGAGGACAGAGGGGCUGGUCUCAGGUGUGGCUUCUCUCAUACCUGGCGCAGGUGGCCACUCCCCUUCCCCCCCCACUCCCCCACCCCACCUCAGCUCCCGGGUGUGAAUGAGAAAGGGGAACCAAGAGAUCAUCAUUACAUGGGACAUGCCACAAACCCCAAAAAGACCCAUUUGGUGAAAAGAAGUAAAACAACCACAAGGCUA